RNAcentral lists this ribosomal RNA (261 nucleotides) under Staphylococcus aureus. RNAcentral's name for it is "partial 23S ribosomal RNA". It matches the Rfam family "Bacterial large subunit ribosomal RNA", at positions 197 to 453 of the family's 2925-position model. Lineage: Bacteria; Bacillati; Bacillota; Bacilli; Caryophanales; Staphylococcaceae. The record is from RNAcentral.
AACAUCUUAGUACCCGGAGGAAGAGAAAGAAAAUUCGAUUCCCUUAGUAGCGGCGAGCGAAACGGGAAGAGCCCAAACCAACAAGCUUGCUUGUUGGGGUUGUAGGACACUCUAUACGGAGUUACAAAGGACGACAUUAGACGAAUCAUCUGGAAAGAUGAAUCAAAGAAGGUAAUAAUCCUGUAGUCGAAAAUGUUGUCUCUCUUGAGUGGAUCCUGAGUACGACGGAGCACGUGAAAUUCCGUCGGAAUCUGGGAGGAC